UGGGCAACCUGCAUGUUGUACUGGGAUAACUUCCUGAAACCGAAUCUAAUACCGGAUAGGAUCUUCUCCUUAUGGGAAUGAUUGAAAAAUGGUGUCGGCUAUCACUUACAUAUGGGCCCCCGGUGCAUUAGCAAGUUGGUGAGGUAACGGCUCACCAAGGCUACGAUGCAUAGCCAACCUGAGAGGGUGACCCGCCACACAGGGACUGAAACACGGCCAAGACUCCUACGGGAGGCAGCAGUAGGGAAUCUUCCGCAAUGGACGAAAGUCUGACGGAGCAACGCCGCGUGAGUGAUGAAGGCUUUCGGGUCGUAAAACUCUGUUGUUAGGGAAGAACAAGUCCGAGAGUAACUGCUCGUACCUUGACGGUACCUAACCAGAAAGCCACGGCUAACUACUUGCCAGCAGCCGCGGUAAUACGUAGGUGGCAAGCGUUAUCCGGAAUUAUUGGGCGUAAAGCGCGCGCACGGCGGUUUCUUAAGUCUGAUGUGAAAGCCCCACGGCUCAACCGUGGAGGGUCAUUGGAAACUGGGGAACUUGAAUGGCAGAAUAGAAAAGCGGAAUUCCCACGUGGUAGCG
This 579-nucleotide ribosomal RNA is filed under the name Bacillus sp. WBUT_C03. RNAcentral's name for it is "bacterial SSU rRNA". It matches the Rfam family "Bacterial small subunit ribosomal RNA", at positions 118 to 683 of the family's 1533-position model. Lineage: Bacteria; Bacillati; Bacillota; Bacilli; Caryophanales; Bacillaceae. The record is from RNAcentral.